This 901-nucleotide ribosomal RNA is filed under the name uncultured archaeon. RNAcentral describes it as "bacterial SSU rRNA". It matches the Rfam family "Archaeal small subunit ribosomal RNA", at positions 5 to 879 of the family's 1478-position model. The record is from RNAcentral.
CGGUUGAUCCUGCCGGACCCCACUGCUAUCGGGGUGGGACUAAAACAUGCAAGUCGAGCGCCUCCCAAGCUAUUGUGGAGGCGCGGCAAACGGCUCAGUAACCCGCGGCCAACCUACCCUUAGGACGGGGAUACCCCCGGGAAACUGGGGCUAAUCCCCGAUAGGUAAGGGCUCCUGGAAUGGGCCCUUACCGAAAAGACGCUGAAUCCAUGCUAUUCAGCGUCGCCUAAGGAUGGGGCCGCGGCCGAUCAGGUUGUUGGUGAGGCAACGGCUCACCAAACCUAUAACCGGUACGGGCCGUGAGAGCGGAAGCCCGGAGAUGGGAACUGAGACAAGGUCCCAGGCCCUACGGGGCGCAGCAGUUGCGAAACCUCCGCAAUGCGCGAAAGCGCGACGGGGCUACCCCGAGUGCCGCCCGUUGAGGGCGGCUUUUCAACGGUGUAAGGAGCCGUAGGAAUAAGGAGAGGGCAAGCCUGGUGUCAGCCGCCGCGGUAAUACCAGCUCUCCGAGUGGUGGGGAUGAUUAUUGGGCUUAAAGCGUUCGUAGCCGGCUUAACAAGUCUUCCGUUAAAUUCAACGAUUUAAUCGUUGGUCUGCGGGAGAUACUGUUAGGCUAGGAGGCGGUAGAAGCCGACGGUAUUCCCGGGGGUAGGGGUGAAAUCCUGUAAUCCCGGGAGGACCACCAGUGGCGAAGGCUGUCGGCUAGAACGCGCUCGACGGUGAGGAACGAAAGCUGGGGGAGCGAACCGGAUUAGAAACCCGGGGAGUCCCAGCCCUAAACGAUGCGGGCUAGGUGUUGAAGUGGCUACGAGCCACUUCAGUGCCGCAGGGAAACCAUUAAGCCCGCCGCCUGGGGAGUACGGCCGCAAGGCUGAAACUUAAAGGAAUUGGCGGGGGAGCAC